UGAUUGACUGCACUGCUAUCCACAUAAUAGUGAAACGGUCUGCAAGCAGUUGCAAUCAAGACUCAAAGUGAAAUUUUCUCCGAGUAUGUAACCAAAGCAAUUAACUCAGAUGUAUUUAAAUAUGGUGGAGAAUUUUUUUUACAGUAUUAGUAAAUGAAGUUAUUCAUAUAUUCAUCAAAUAAUGAAUGCCAAAUACAUCGUUCUUCUAAUCAUCUUGAUAGCAAUGUCUUCAGUAUGUGAAGAACUCCAGCAGUUUGUACGUUGGGCAGAAACAAAUCUAACAGAAGACGUUAGUCAAUCAGUGAACCGCAUCAUUCGCUGCUCAGGAUGCAAACAAUCUACUACACGAGAAAAUAAACGCACACGACCCAAACUCUCACGCAAAGGUCCACUGCCUUUCUAAAAUCAGACACUCUGCUGCACGGAGCACUUAUUUUCUGCAAAGAUCAUAUCCUGUGCCAUCUACGAAUAGAACUACAAGGACAAACAUCCUUUUAAGAUCUGUUUGAAGAAUACAAUCUAUUUUUCUGUUGGGAUGCAUAAGAGAUCAGUUUCAGCUGCUCGCUACUGCUGCCACAGAAGGAUCCCAUUUUUUCCAGAUGUGAAUGCGCCACUUGAGUGAAUAUAAUCAAAAGGUCAAAACAAAAUGCAACAUGAUUUGAGACAGACUGUUCACGACAUACAACCACCAUUUUCUCCACAUUCAGUACUCCAAAGAAGACCAUUUCUAUCUGUAAGCAAAACAAAACUAUUCUCAGCUGUUUCUAUUAAACAAACCCAGUAAAGUUCAAAUAAUUGAUGUGUCUAAUAAUUAGCUUUAAAAAUGGUAACCAUCUGACAUUUAAAAAUGCAAAUAUUGUUUCUCCA
Molecule: long non-coding RNA, 867 nt
Organism: Rhincodon typus (whale shark)
Lineage: Eukaryota; Metazoa; Chordata; Chondrichthyes; Orectolobiformes; Rhincodontidae
Exons: 3
Source: RefSeq, a predicted model, not a curated record